GACGUAGGGCGCGAGCGUUGUCCGGAUUUAUUGGGCGUAAAGAGCUCGUAGGCGGCUUGUCGCGUCGUUCGUGAAAACCUGCAGCUCAACUGCAGGCUUGCGGUCGAUACGGGCAGGCUAGAGUUCGGUAGGGGAGACUGGAAUUCCUGGUGUAGCGGUGAAAUGCGCAGAUAUCAGGAGGAACACCGGUGGCGAAGGCGGCAUCCUGGACCGGUAUUGACGCUGAGGCGCGAAAGCUAGGGUAGCAAACGGG
This 253-nucleotide ribosomal RNA is filed under the name uncultured bacterium. RNAcentral describes it as "partial 16S ribosomal RNA". It matches the Rfam family "Bacterial small subunit ribosomal RNA", at positions 524 to 776 of the family's 1533-position model. The record is from RNAcentral.